RNAcentral lists this long non-coding RNA (304 nucleotides) under Gossypium barbadense (sea-island cotton). RNAcentral's name for it is "long non-coding RNA (GBAR_LNC013197)". Lineage: Eukaryota; Viridiplantae; Streptophyta; Magnoliopsida; Malvales; Malvaceae. The record is from RNAcentral.
AUUCAAAGCUCUGUUUUCUAAAUUAGCAUCUUUGUCGGGUUCUUCGUUCAAGGUAUUCUGCAACGGAAGCUAUUUAAGGAGGGCAAAGAGUUGAGGGUACCAGAAAGCAUUUAGGUCAAUAUGGGUGCAUUACUGACCUCACUAUUCAUCAACAGGAUAUUAUUUUGAUGUGCAUCAACAUCCUCCUUUGAACCUGACUCGGACUUUGAUUUAUCCGUAAGAGCAUGAUUGAUGGAAUGGCUAUAAGGUUUGUUCUUCAACAUGAUCGAUGGAAGAUGGUCAACAUCCCAAUUAAGAACCUUAC